GCAAGUCGAGCGACGCAUAUCGGAGGGGUAACCCACUGGUAUGACGGAGCGGCGAACGGGUGCGUAACACGUGAGCAACCUGCCCCACAGACCGGGAUAGCCCGAGGAAACUCGGAUUAACACCGGAUACUCUCACCGGACCGCAUGGCCUGGUGAGGAAAGACUUUUGUGCUGUGGGAUGGGCUCGCGGCCUAUCAGCUAGUUGGUGAGGUAAUGGCUCACCAAGGCAACGACGGGUAGCUGGUCUGAGAGGAUGAUC
RNAcentral lists this ribosomal RNA (259 nucleotides) under uncultured bacterium. RNAcentral's name for it is "partial 16S ribosomal RNA". It matches the Rfam family "Bacterial small subunit ribosomal RNA", at positions 57 to 305 of the family's 1533-position model. The record is from RNAcentral.